UCAGGUGGCCGCAGAGAAUAGGCCCAAGCGACUGUUUACCAAAAACAUAGGUUUCUGCUAAGUCGCAAGACGAUGUAUAGGAGCUGACGCCUGCCCGGUGCUGGAAGGUUAAGGGGAUCUGUUAGAGCAAUCGAAGCAGUGAACUUAAGCCCCAGUAAACGGCGGCCGUAACUAUAACGGUCCUAAGGUAGCGAAAUUCCUUGUCGGGUAAGUUCCGACCCGCACGAAAGGCGUAACGAUUUGGGCACUGUCUCAACAACAGACUCGGUGAAAUUGUAAUUCCGGUGAAGAUGCCGGAUACCUGCGACAGGACGGAAAGACCCCAUGGAGCUUUACUGUAGCUUGACAUUGGGUCUUGGUACUACAUGUACAGGAUAGGUGGGAGGCUUUGAAACCAGGACGCCAGUUUUGGCGGAGCCAUCCUUGGGAUACCACCCUUGUAGUACUGGGACUCUAACCAUAGGCCAUGAAUCUGGUCUUGGGACACUGUCAGGUGGGCAGUUUGACUGGGGCGGUCGCCUCCCAAAAGGUAACGGAGGCGCUCAAAGGUUCUCUCAGUACGGUCGGAAAUCGUACGUAGAGUGUAAAGGCAAAAGAGAGCUUGAUUGCAAGACAUACAGGUCGAGCAAGGAUGAAAAUCGGACUUAGUGAUCCGGUGGUUCUGCGUGGAAGGGCCAUCGCUCAACGGAUAAAAGCUACCCUGGGGAUAACAGGCUUAUCUCCCCCAAGAGUCCACAUCGACGGGGAGGUUUGGCACCUCGAUGUCGGCUCAUCACAUCCUGGGGC
This 786-nucleotide ribosomal RNA is filed under the name Clostridioides difficile. RNAcentral describes it as "bacterial LSU rRNA". It matches the Rfam family "Bacterial large subunit ribosomal RNA", at positions 1769 to 2553 of the family's 2925-position model. The record is from RNAcentral. Lineage: Bacteria; Bacillati; Bacillota; Clostridia; Peptostreptococcales; Peptostreptococcaceae.